Molecule: ribosomal RNA, 699 nt
Filed under: Subplenodomus meldolanus
Lineage: Eukaryota; Fungi; Ascomycota; Dothideomycetes; Pleosporales; Leptosphaeriaceae
Description: Subplenodomus sp. RSB-2020a partial large subunit ribosomal RNA
Rfam family: Eukaryotic large subunit ribosomal RNA
Source: RNAcentral
CGGGUAAAGCCCCUUUGAGGAUUGGAGUUGUUUGGGAAUGCAGUUCUAAAUGGGAGGUAAAUUUCUUUUAAAGCUAAAUACUGGCCAGAGACCGAUAGCGCACAAGUAGAGUGAUCGAAAGAUGAAAAGCACUUUGGAAAGAGAGUCAAAAAGCACGUGAAAUUGUUGAAAGGGAAGCGCUUGCAGCCAGACUUGCCUGUAGUUGCUCAUCCGGGUUCUUGCCCGGUGCAUUCUUCUAUGGGCAGGCCAGCAUCAGUUUGGGCGGUUAGAUAAAGGUCUCUGUCACGUACUUCUUCUCGGGGAGGCCUUAUAGGGGAGACGACAUGUAACCAGCCUGGACUGAGGUCCGCGCAUUCGUUAGGAUGCUGGCGUAAUGGCUGUAAGCGGCCCGUCUUGAAACACGGACCAAGGAGUCUACCAUCUAUGCGAGUGUUUGGGUGUCAAGCCCGAACGCGUAAUGAAAGUGAACGGAGGUGGGAACCCGCAAGGGUGCACCAUCGACCGAUCCUGAUGUCUUCGGAUGGAUUUGAGUAAGAGCAUGGCUGUUGGGACCCGAAAGAUGGUGAACUAUGCUUGAAUAGGGUGAAGCCAGAGGAAACUCUGGUGGAGGUUCGCAGCGGUUCUGACGUGCAAAUCGAUCGUCAAAUUUGGGCAUAGGGGCGAAAGAUUAAUCGAACUAUUUAGUAGCUGGUUCCUGCG